UACAGCAAUGUUUUACUGUCUCCGCGCUCCUGAGCGAUCAUUUGGCAGCAGGAAUAGAAAUGCUGUUGAAAAGAGGUCGAUGGAGGGAGGGGGAUUAAACCACUUUCCAGAAUAUGGCAAUAAUGUUUUCUCUGACCCAGAGACACGAAUGCUGUGAAGCAAUGGCUGUUUAGAGAAGGCUGUCACUGCAUUUUGAUAAGACCUAGAGGCUUGACUGAGUCUGGAAGCCUGUUGCUGCUGGAUGAUGACCACUGAAGAACAACAUGCAAGGAGACAAGGUGGACAAAAGGUGGAAGCAGAAGAGAGGCCAGAAUAAGCGCUCCAACACAAGAGGAUUCUCCAGCCCUAGUGGGACUUGAAUAUAGAUCAUCUGAGUCCCCCAUCGACUGCCCUAAAUGUAGAGCUGUACUUGCCUUGUGUGGCUAAGCAGGGAUGCCAGGACCCCCCUGCACAGCAACACUAGAUCAUUCAGAGCACUGAGGAACAACUCCGUGGAGGCAAGAAGAGGAGCAGAGCUGGUUCUCAUUUCUUGCUUGCCAGCUGAGGCCCCGCUGGCUUGAUAAAUAUAAGCAAAUCAAGCUGUAACUAGAGGCAGGAGU
This is a long non-coding RNA of Rhea pennata, 599 nucleotides long. RefSeq lists it as uncharacterized. The transcript is spliced from 3 exons. NCBI's taxonomy places the organism in Eukaryota, Metazoa, Chordata, Aves, Rheiformes, Rheidae. The record is from RefSeq and is a predicted model, not a curated record.